Molecule: ribosomal RNA, 452 nt
Filed under: uncultured organism
Description: partial 16S ribosomal RNA
Rfam family: Bacterial small subunit ribosomal RNA
Source: RNAcentral
GUACACUCCUACGGGAGGCAGCAGUGGGGAAUAUUGGACAAUGGGCGCAAGCCUGAUCCAGCCAUGCCGCGUGAGUGAUGAAGGCCCUAGGGUUGUAAAGCUCUUUCACCGGUGAAGAUAAUGACGGUAACCGGAGAAGAAGCCCCGGCUAACUUCGUGCCAGCAGCCGCGGUAAUACGAAGGGGGCUAGCGUUGUUCGGAUUUACUGGGCGUAAAGCGCACGUAGGCGGACUAUUAAGUCAGGGGUGAAAUCCCGGGGCUCAACCCCGGAACUGCCUUUGAUACUGGUAGUCUUGAGUUCGAGAGAGGUGAGUGGAAUUCCGGGUGUAGAGGUGAAAUUCGUAGAUAUUCGGAGGAACACCAGUGGCGAAGGCGGCUCACUGGCUCGAUACUGACGCUGAGGUGCGAAAGCGUGGGGAGCAAACAGGAUUAUAAACCCGGGUAGUCCCAUG